CUUGUUGGUGGGGUGAUGGCCUACCAAGGCGACGACGGGUAGCCGGCCUGAGAGGGUGUCCGGCCACACUGGGACUGAGAUACGGCCCAGACUCCUACGGGAGGCAGCAGUGGGGAAUAUUGCACAAUGGGCGCAAGCCUGAUGCAGCGACGCCGCGUGGGGGAUGACGGCCUUCGGGUUGUAAACCUCUUUCACCAUCGACGAAGGCCUGGUUUUUGCUGGGUUGACGGUAGGUGGAGAAGAAGCACCGGCCAACUACGUGCCAGCAGCCGCGGUAAUACGUAGGGUGCGAGCGUUGUCCGGAAUUACUGGGCGUAAAGAGCUCGUAGGUGGUUUGUCGCGUUGUUCGUGAAAUGCCACAGCUUAACUGUGGGCGUGCGGGCGAUACGGGCAGACUGGAGUACUGCAGGGGAGACUGGAAUUCCUGGUGUAGCGGUGGAAUGCGCAGAUAUCAGGAGGAACACCGGUGGCGAAGGCGGGUCUCUGGGCAGUAACUGACGCUGAGGAGCGAAAGCGUGGGGAGCGAACAGGAUUAGAUACCCUGGUAGUCCACGCCGUAAACGGUGGGUACUAGGUGUGGGUUUCCUUCCUUGGGAUCCGUGCCGUAGCUAACGCAUUAAGUACCCCGCCUGGGGAGUACGGCCGCAAGGCUAAAACUCAAAGGAAUUGACG
This 672-nucleotide ribosomal RNA is filed under the name uncultured Actinomycetes bacterium. RNAcentral describes it as "SSU rRNA". It matches the Rfam family "Bacterial small subunit ribosomal RNA", at positions 245 to 915 of the family's 1533-position model. Lineage: Bacteria; Bacillati; Actinomycetota; Actinomycetes. The record is from RNAcentral.